Molecule: unclassified non-coding RNA, 287 nt
Filed under: Hevea brasiliensis (rubber tree)
Lineage: Eukaryota; Viridiplantae; Streptophyta; Magnoliopsida; Malpighiales; Euphorbiaceae
Source: RNAcentral
CGGGAAGGAGCCAACGAAUGCGAAGUUUAGGAAGAUACGGAUGGGGAAUCCGAAGAUAAAGGAGGCUAUAGGUGAUGUUGUAGGAGGAGUUGAGCUAUUGGAAUUUGUUGGAUUUGAGUUGAAAGAAGAAGGUGGGGAAAUUUGGGGUGUGAUGGAUGUUCCUUCUGAAGAACAACUUGUUAAACUUAAGAAUGUAGUUUCGCUUUUGGAACCAAAGAAGGUUGAAGAGUUGGCAUCAGCAUCCCAAGUUAAGGCCGCGAGUAAACCAGUUGAGCUGAAGAAGAUUG